GGGCUGGGGCUCAGCGGUAGAGCGCGCGCCACGCACGCGCAAGGCCCUGGGUUCAAGCCUCGGCAUCACG
RNAcentral lists this transfer RNA (70 nucleotides) under Marmota monax (woodchuck). RNAcentral's name for it is "tRNA.Ala". The record is from RNAcentral. Lineage: Eukaryota; Metazoa; Chordata; Mammalia; Rodentia; Sciuridae.